GGCAGAUAUUCUUUUACUGCCCCGAAUACAUUAGCAUGGGAUAAUGGAAUAGGACCCUGUCCUUCAUGUUUCGCGUUGGUUGUGUGUUAAGUGCGCGCGCAAGCGCGUGGCUGGCACAUGGUGUUUCGUCUAAAGGAGGACCAGGGUAAUGAUUAAUAGGGAUAGUUGGGGGCAUUAAUAUUUAAUUGUCAGAGGUGAAAUUCUUGGAUUUAUGAAAGAUUAACUUCUGCGAAAGCAUCUGCCAAGGAUGUUUUCAUUAAUCAAGAACGAAAGUUAGGGGAUCGAAGACGAUUAGAUACCGUCGUAGUCUUAACCAUAAACCAUGCCGACCAGCGAUUGGGAGACGUUUCACACGGAAGUGGUGCCGGGGAGGGCGCCCUCCCUUUGCCCCGUAAAAAAGGGCCGAACAAAGCGCCUCUCCUUUGGGCUGCUUCCACUAAAGGAUGACUCCCCUAACAGCUUGUGAAAA
Molecule: ribosomal RNA, 469 nt
Filed under: Acanthamoeba sp.
Lineage: Eukaryota; Discosea; Longamoebia; Acanthamoebidae
Description: bacterial SSU rRNA
Rfam family: Eukaryotic small subunit ribosomal RNA
Source: RNAcentral